Molecule: transfer RNA, 76 nt
Filed under: Bacteroidales bacterium
Lineage: Bacteria; Pseudomonadati; Bacteroidota; Bacteroidia; Bacteroidales
Description: tRNA-Met
Rfam family: tRNA
About the family: Transfer RNA (tRNA) molecules are approximately 80 nucleotides in length. Their secondary structure includes four short double-helical elements and three loops (D, anti-codon, and T loops).
Source: RNAcentral
UGCGGGGUAGAGCAGUUGGUAGCUCGUCGGGCUCAUAACCCGGAGGUCGCAGGUUCGAGUCCUGCCCCCGCUACCA